Molecule: non-coding RNA, 31 nt
Filed under: Mus musculus (house mouse)
Lineage: Eukaryota; Metazoa; Chordata; Mammalia; Rodentia; Muridae
Source: RNAcentral
UGGGACACUAUGGUCACCAAAACCUAAAGAU